GACGAACGCUGGCGGCGUGCCUAAUACAUGCAAGUCGAGCGGACGGAUGGGAGCUUGCUCCCAGACCGUCAGCGGCGGACGGGUGAGUAACACGUGGGCAACCCGCCUGUAAGACUGGGAUAACUCCGGGAAACCGGGGCUAAUACCGGAUAACUCUUUCCCUCACAUGAGGGAAAGCUGAAAGAUGGCAUCUCGCUAUCACUUACAGAUGGGCCCGCGGCGCAUUAGCUAGUUGGUGAGGUAACGGCUCACCAAGGCGACGAUGCGUAGCCGACCUGAGAGGGUGAUCGGCCACACUGGGACUGAGACACGGCCCAGACUCCUACGGGAGGCAGCAGUAGGGAAUCUUCCGCAAUGGACGAAAGCCUGACGGAGCAACGCCGCGUGAGUGAUGAAGGUUUUCGGAUCGUAAAACUCUGUUGUCAGGGAAGAACAAGUACCGGAGUAACUGCCGGUACCUUGACGGUACCUGACCAGAAAGCCACGGCUAACUACGUG
Molecule: ribosomal RNA, 498 nt
Filed under: uncultured bacterium
Lineage: Bacteria
Description: partial 16S ribosomal RNA
Rfam family: Bacterial small subunit ribosomal RNA
Source: RNAcentral